ACGGGAGGCAGCAGUGGGGGAUAUUGCACAAUGGAGGAAACUCUGAUGCAGCAACGCCGCGUGAAGGAUGAAGGUCUUCGGAUUGUAAACUUCUGUCCUUAGGGAAGAUAAUGACGGUACCUUUGGAGGAAGCCCCGACUAACUACGUGCCAGCAGCCGCGGUAAUACGUAAGGGGCAAGCGUUAUCCGGAAUUAUUGGGCGUAAAGGGUGCGUAGGUGGUUACCUAAGCAGGGGGUGAAAGGCAUUGGCUUAACCAAUGUUAGCCCCCUGAACUGGGCUACUUGAGUACAGGAGGGGAAAGUGGAAUUCCUAGUGUAGCGGUGAAAUGCGUAGAUAUUAGGAGGAACACCGGUGGCGAAGGCGACUCUCUGGACUGUUACUGACACUGAGGCACGAAAGUGUGGGGAGCAAACAGGAUUAGAUACCCUGGUA
RNAcentral lists this ribosomal RNA (433 nucleotides) under uncultured Proteocatella sp. RNAcentral's name for it is "partial 16S ribosomal RNA". It matches the Rfam family "Bacterial small subunit ribosomal RNA", at positions 341 to 792 of the family's 1533-position model. Lineage: Bacteria; Bacillati; Bacillota; Clostridia; Peptostreptococcales; Filifactoraceae. The record is from RNAcentral.